RNAcentral lists this ribosomal RNA (253 nucleotides) under uncultured bacterium. Its description in RNAcentral is "partial 16S ribosomal RNA". It matches the Rfam family "Bacterial small subunit ribosomal RNA", at positions 524 to 776 of the family's 1533-position model. The record is from RNAcentral.
UACGGAGGGGGCUAGCGUUGUUCGGAAUUACUGGGCGUAAAGCGCGCGUAGGCGGACCUGCAAGUCGGGGGUGAAAGCCCGAGGCUCAACCUCGGAACUGCCUUCGAUACUGCGGGUCUCGAGUCCGGGAGAGGUGAGUGGAAUUCCUAGUGUAGAGGUGAAAUUCGUAGAUAUUAGGAAGAACACCAGUGGCGAAGGCGGCUCACUGGCCCGGUACUGACACUGAAGCACGAAAGCGUGGGGAGCAAACAGG